Wyeomyia smithii (pitcher-plant mosquito) is the source of this 990-nucleotide long non-coding RNA. RefSeq lists it as uncharacterized. NCBI's taxonomy places the organism in Eukaryota, Metazoa, Arthropoda, Insecta, Diptera, Culicidae. The transcript is spliced from 3 exons. The record is from RefSeq and is a predicted model, not a curated record.
UAUUUUUCAGGCGGAAAAAAACGAUCUUGCCAUCCAAAGGAUCGAUUCAGCAGAAAAUCGCGCGCAGGAAAAUCGAUUCAAAAAAUCGAUGAAUCGACUAGAAAAGAUCGAUUUUGCAAAAAUCGGAUCGAUCUUGCCCAUUACUACACCCUACCCCAGAAGUUGCUUUUGCCGCUAGGUAUUUGUUGGGUGCUGCUAUUCGACAAGAUUUAGCAUUGUUGCGGGUGGUGUAAAGGUUCGUCCCAGGUGUCACUGAGUUUCUGAGAAAUAAUGGUAACUAGAAAGCUACAACUCGGUACAAGUAUCAUGGAGACAAAGCCCAGCACUAGGGAGAGCCCAAAUGUGGAUAAAUCAGCGCUGUGUUUAUUGUCCGGUGUUAGAGAGGUGCCCACAGGUUUAACUUCAAGAUUGCUUCCAUCCGAGCUUCCAUCGUACAAGGAACGAAUUCCUUCUGGUAUUAUGACUGUAAAGGCUGUUUCCACCAACAACCUAGCACCAAACAUAUACACAUCUUUAGUUUUUCCUCUAACAGCAUCACGAUUAAAAGUAUACUUUCAACUACACUGUUAUUAAAUGCCACGAUUACUUCAAGUGUUUUUGCACUUGACUCGAUUCGUCACGUCACACUGCAAAUUGAAGUGAUUUAGUGUUGAUUUCACAAUGAUCAACACUUUCUAAUGAAAUGAUCUUGCGUUGAAAACUGUUCAAUGGAAAUCACCAUCAUAUUAUAAUGAAUAUCUCUUGAAUUUGCACCACUGUUCAAAUCAAUUGAAUUACAGCUGCGAUUCCAAUUGACAAACGUCAAAAACAUAAAACGGAACAAAAAUAGUCGCGAUGGCGGAAGGCGCAAGCAGCACAUUUUCCCCGGCGAUUGAAAAUUUGUUUGGAAAUCCUGAAUUCGAAUACACCGACACAGCGACAGUGGUCAUUUUGUAAUCAAAUUGAAAACCUAGAAUGAAAUAAAAUUGAAAAAUCUAAAAUAAACAGAAA